GUACAUGUAGAAUCAUGGUUUACACAAAAGUACAUGUAAUAUCAGUUUUACCUCUAAAUUUUUAUUUGCUUCUUUAUAUAUUUUUUAUACAGAACUAACAAAUCUCACUUGACUAUUGUUGGUAAGCAUUUCUCCUUUCCUGCAAUUGGUUUGAUGGUUUUGGUGUGAUCAUAAAACUAAUAUUGUAUCUACUGGAAAAUAACACAAAAACUGAUAUGUUUUUUUUUUAUUAGUUUUUGUUUGCUUACCAUUAAAAGUACAACGGCGCCACUGAAGGUUGGUUGUUUAUCUUUUUUCCUCUUAUGUGCUCUAUGAACUGAUUACAUCAAGUAUCUCACUGUUUCUUUGGCCCAGUUGUACUGAUUUAUGUUAGUGAUGGAGCUACAAUUAUUGG
RNAcentral lists this long non-coding RNA (394 nucleotides) under Malus domestica (apple). RNAcentral describes it as "long non-coding RNA (MDOM_LNC003135)". The record is from RNAcentral. Lineage: Eukaryota; Viridiplantae; Streptophyta; Magnoliopsida; Rosales; Rosaceae.